Long non-coding RNA from Cydia pomonella (codling moth), 2089 nucleotides. RefSeq lists it as uncharacterized. The transcript is spliced from 2 exons. Lineage: Eukaryota; Metazoa; Arthropoda; Insecta; Lepidoptera; Tortricidae. The record is from RefSeq and is a predicted model, not a curated record.
GCCAGUUGAGGGUAGAUGAAAACAUUACAUGAUCAAAUAAUGUAGGUUAAAGUCAGGUCGUUCAGAGACAGAUCCAGGCGGUUUUGUAUUUGGUUGGUUAAACAAUGUUAUAACUACCUGAAAAUGUACAAAUUGUUUGUUUACUUUUAUUUAAAUAUCUAAAGAUACAGAGUAUAGUACUCAACAAUCUAAUUCCAAUAGUUGUCUGUAACCUCUAUUGCCAAGAAUUUAGGAUUAAGGUCCACACAUACCGAGUUGCCUCGCGAGGAAUUUGCCGCGCGAAGCAGCUCGGGCUGUGGAGACGUGCCUCGCCCGAGGCAACGCGGUCGCGAGUACGUUUGCUUCGCAUGAGGCGCGGCGACACAGACCGAGCUGCUUUGCGCGGCAAUGUGUUUAAAAACAGAUUGUACUUUUAAACAAUAAGUUAGGCUGAUGUUAUAUGAUUUUACAAACUUUGAACUGAACAACAACUUUUACAAUAUUGAACUUACACUUACUUUAGUAUUUGAACUUGUACAGUCAACCAAUUUGAAUCCUAGGCCACUAUAGAACCUUGUCGCUUUAACUACUCUAUACAUGACAUGCAUCACUCAAUAAGCACUGUCGUGGAAGUCAUUAUGACAUAGUUCUAUAGUGGCCUAGGAAUCAAAUUGGUUGACCGUACAAUAUUGGACACUGUGUGACAUAGUCUCAUCAGUUAAAUAGCUGGUCGCUUAUUAAUUAAAAUUAAAUAAGCCUUUAAUCCACAUAUGAAUCACUUGUAAAUACAAAUAUUAAGUUGUCUUAUUAUAAAAUGUCUCUUAGUGUGGUGUGCCUGUCGGCAUAGGCCUCUUCCAACUCUUUCCAGUGCUGUCUGUCUAAAGCAACUCUGGUCUGGUCGCCUAUAAUUCCAUCUAUUGGGAACUGUUGGGCUAGAAUAGAAUGGAAUACUCUUUAUUGGCACAUCUCAGUAAAAAGAUACAGGAAAAGAAACAAUUGCUUAAAUAGUAGGGUAGUGUCAGGCAUUGGGAUAUUUAUCUUAUUAGGCUGGUAAAUUUAUAACUUAGAUCAUUAGCAAUUAUAAUAUAAAGAGAUACUAGACUACUACGCAAAACACAAAUAAACAAUACCAAAAUUUAUGUCUGCGCGUAUAGACAUAAGUUGGGGCUGAUGGACAGGAUUUGCGCUGAUGUGGAUGGCAGGUUGUUGAAAUGACGAAGGCAGCGGGUUCUUCAAAUUAAUUCUAUAAUUCGGGAUUUUCUACAUGGUUUUUGAUUAAUUAACGUUAUAUAAAAAAGAGCAAAACAAAAAGGGCACGUAUAAGCUACGUGGUAGUUCGGUGAGAGAUCGAAUUGUGAUGUUUACGCAAAUAAAUCAUUAUCUUAUCUUAUCUUACUAUAAAGAGUUUUUACCUAAUGUUACAGUCUUAGUGUGUUAAAAGUAUUGUCAAGAUGUUUUUUACUAUUUUGUGAACAAUAUGUAUUUUUUCUAGCAGGCAACUUGUCUAUUCAGAGAAAUUUGGUCUUUUUUUAAAAGGGUAAUUACUAUUAUCAGUUUUCAUUGUAGAGGUGUAAAAUUUAUGAAAAACUCGUGCCCCCGAAUAUGACAGCCGGGUCACCAACGGCCAGCCAAUCUCACCAACUUGACAAUUGGCUGCCCAUGUAGUCAGCAAAUAACAAGGUUUACUUGUUGUACAGUCGAUGUCACCAACAUCUUUACAAGCCAACAUGCCAAUAAUAUAUUUACACGCCUCUAUGACACUGACUUUAAGGUCGCGUUGACAUAUAUUUGAAAUGUUGGGUUGUAAAGAUAUCUGUGUACUCGACUGUACUUGUGUUGUUGGCCUGUUUUGAUGUAACUGUAUUAUUUUUUAAUGUAUAUUUUACUAUUAACAACUCUGCUAAUAUUAAAGCUGCUCAAACAUAAUUACGAUCCAUAUAGAGUACGCUGAAAUGUAAGGAGUCAGUGAUUCUUACAUAUUUUUUGUAUGGAAUAACACAUUUACCAAUAUUGGUUGUACAAAAAUGAGAUGGACCGAUAUUUGGGAAAUAAAAAAACUUAAUAGUGUAAAUUAUAGUUUUUAUGUCGAAUAAAUCGAAUUUAUUAUGUA